Molecule: ribosomal RNA, 459 nt
Filed under: uncultured bacterium
Lineage: Bacteria
Description: partial 16S ribosomal RNA
Rfam family: Bacterial small subunit ribosomal RNA
Source: RNAcentral
CCUACGGGAGGCAGCAGUGAGGAAUAUUUGUCAAUGGGCGCGAGCCUGAACCAGCCAAGUCGCGUGAGGGAAGAAGGUCCUAUGGAUUGUAAACCUCUUUUGUCGGGGAGCAAAAGACGCCACGCGUUGCGUUCCGAGCGUACCCGAAAAAAAAGCAUCGGCUAAAUCCGUGCCAGCAGCCGCGGUAAUACGGAGGAUGCGAGCGUUAUCCGGAGUUAUUGGGUUUAAAGGGUGCGCAGGCGGAAGGUCAAGUCAGCGGUAAAAUUGAGGGGCUCAACCUCUUCGAGCCGUUGAAACUGGUUUUAUUGAGUGAGUGAGAAGUAUGCGGAAUGCGUGGUGUAGCGGUGAAAUGCAUAGAUAUCACGAAGAACUCCGAUUGCGAAGGCAGCUCACUGGACUGCAACUGACACUGAGGCUCGAAAGUGUGGGUAUCAAACAGGAUUAGAUACCCCAGUAGUC